Molecule: transfer RNA, 69 nt
Filed under: Capra hircus (goat)
Lineage: Eukaryota; Metazoa; Chordata; Mammalia; Artiodactyla; Bovidae
Also listed under: 1 other name
Rfam family: tRNA
About the family: Transfer RNA (tRNA) molecules are approximately 80 nucleotides in length. Their secondary structure includes four short double-helical elements and three loops (D, anti-codon, and T loops). Further hydrogen bonds mediate the characteristic L-shaped molecular structure. tRNAs have two regions of fundamental functional importance: the anti-codon, which is responsible for specific mRNA codon recognition, and the 3' end, to which the tRNAs corresponding amino acid is attached (by aminoacyl-tRNA synthetases). tRNAs cope with the degeneracy of the genetic code in two manners: having more than one tRNA (with a specific anti-codon) for a particular amino acid; and 'wobble' base-pairing, i.e. permitting non-standard base-pairing at the 3rd anti-codon position.
Source: Rfam by way of RNAcentral
CCUGAGAGCUCAGUUGGUAAAGAAUCUGCCUGCAAUGCAGGAGACCCUGGUUCAAUUCCUGGGUCAGGA